This 252-nucleotide unclassified non-coding RNA is filed under the name Hevea brasiliensis (rubber tree). Lineage: Eukaryota; Viridiplantae; Streptophyta; Magnoliopsida; Malpighiales; Euphorbiaceae. The record is from RNAcentral.
GCUCUUACGGAAUUCCCGAAGGUCUCUUUUGCGGCAGUCCAGCCAUUUGCGCCGAGGGGCAAUAUGCCCGCGUGGCAGACUUGAAGAUCCGUGGAUAUGCUCGCGUGAUGCUGGAUCGAACCGUUGCAGAGCUGAUUGAGGAACGCGGAACGCGAGGCCGUCCGCGCCCUUGUGAGUUGAGACUCUUCGCAUUGGAUCAAGGUGGAUAGAGACGCCUCGGACUUUUUUCUCUUGUUGCGGCGCCGUCGAGCC